Molecule: ribosomal RNA, 309 nt
Filed under: uncultured eukaryote
Lineage: Eukaryota
Description: partial 18S ribosomal RNA
Rfam family: Eukaryotic small subunit ribosomal RNA
Source: RNAcentral
CCCUUAGAUGUUCUGGGCGGCCCGCGCACUACAUUGGCACUGUCAGCAAGGGUCUGAAACUAAAACUUUUGGGUAUUCUGAGAACCGGUGUCGUGACUGGGAUUGACCCUUGCAAUUAUUGGUUAUGAACGAGGAAUUCCUUGUAAUCGCGGUUUAUCAGCCCGCGUUGAAUGCGUCCCUGCCCUUUGUACACACCGCCCGUCGCUCCUACCGAUGAAUCGUCCGGUGAAGUUCAUGGAGUAGUGGUUGUUCCAUCCGCUGUCGAAGUGAAAUAAACCUCAUGAUUUAGAGGAAGGAGAANUCGUANCA